This 521-nucleotide ribosomal RNA is filed under the name uncultured bacterium. RNAcentral's name for it is "partial 16S ribosomal RNA". It matches the Rfam family "Bacterial small subunit ribosomal RNA", at positions 29 to 507 of the family's 1533-position model. The record is from RNAcentral.
AUGAACGCUGGCGGCGUGCCUAAUACAUGCAAGUCGAACGCUUUGUCUUUAAUUGAUAUGACGAGCUUGCUCUGAUUUGAUUUUAUCUGACAAAGAGUGGCGAACGGGUGAGUAACACGUGGGUAACCUACCUCUUAGCAGGGGAUAACAUUUGGAAACAAGUGCUAAUACCGUAUAACACUAACAACCGCAUGGUUGUUAGUUGAAAGAUGGUUCUGCUAUCACUAAGAGAUGGACCCGCGGUGCAUUAGCUAGUUGGUAAGGUAAUGGCUUACCAAGGCGAUGAUGCGUAGCCGAGUUGAGAGACUGAUCGGCCACCAUGGGACUGAGACACGGCCCAUACUCCUACGGGAGGCAGCAGUAGGGAAUCUUCCACAAUGGGCGCAAGCCUGAUGGAGCAACGCCGCGUGAGUGAUGAAGGGUUUCGGCUCGUAAAACACUGUUAUAAGAGAAGAACGACAUUGAGAGUAACUGUUCAGUGUGUGACGGUAUCUUAUCAGAAAGGAACGGCUAAAUACGUG